This is a non-coding RNA of Anas platyrhynchos (mallard), 4837 nucleotides long. The record is from RefSeq and is a predicted model, not a curated record. Lineage: Eukaryota; Metazoa; Chordata; Aves; Anseriformes; Anatidae.
GCUGCUCUGCGGAAGGCAGGUGCUGAGACGGGCGGUGCUGAGGCGGGCGCUGGUCAUGGUCUCCGCAAACAUGCUAUCUGCGAGGCAAAGCCAGCGACACGGGGCGUUAGAGACAGGGCACAACGGGCUACUCUCACCUCUACUGUUAUUAUUUCAGCCUAGGGAUUAUCUGAAUUCUGCUCCUCUAACAGAAAAAUCGGACGGAGGUCAGCCACGAACGAACACGGGGCUGGAGAAUCCCACGAGGGGCAGGCAGGGGAACGGCUGCAACUCGGCACCAGCUGAGGAGAAACAAGAGUUGUGAAAUACCCACACCACCUGCGAGCAAAUUGCUCUGCUGAACUGGGCGAAGCUGUAAAAAACCAGCCUGGUUCUGCAGAUUUCUGAGCGCAGGGCUCUGACUGCUCUCAGCUGCUCUCUUCAGGAGGAAACGUCUCCCUGUGCCCACGUCCAAAGGUCCUGUGCGAGCCCAAGCUGCCACGGCGCUGGGUGAAGGAGCACAAGCAUGGCUUUGUAUUCCUCUCACACUCAUCGCUGCCUUAAACUGUGACAUGUCCAGACACAGGACUGCCUGGGGUGCCUUGGACAUUUCACUCCAGAGGGAAGGCAACAACCAGAGAAGCAAAGCCAGAACCAGUGGAAGUCAGAGUGCUGGAGCAAAGCAGACUCCUCAGCUCAUCUUCCCAAAGACGGGGAGGUGUGAAGCAUCCCAGCACCAACACUGCCAGCUACUCGGAGGAGAAAAUCACCGGGGUUUUACCAAAGGAGGUAACCCCCAAAUGCAUCCAGGCAGCAGUGAAGGAAGGGCUGCCUUAGAUCAGGAGCCUGUGCAGGGGAGGCUGCCAGAGCAGUCCUGGUGGCAAGGGCACUGUGGCAAGAAAUGCGCCCCCAGAGGAGGAGUAAGCCACAGCUGAGCUGUGUGAUGCUGAAAGAUGCAUUUUGUGCAUCUGCAUUCAGUCUGUAUAUCACAGCUUUCUCAACUUGCAAAAUUUUGGGAGGAGUUUGAGAGACAAACACGUCUCCUAAGGCAUCACCACAUCUGUAGGCUGCAUCCACUGAUGCCCCGGGCGGCUGAGCAUCGCCCUGAUGCCCGGGGCAGCUUGUGGGGCUUGGUGCUUUGCCCCGAAACAAGGCAGAGUACAGCAGCCCUCAGGCACAGGCUUUCGCUGAGCUCUUGGCCGCCGCAGGCAGGGCUGCAGGGAGGCGUGAGGGCAGAAAUAAGCAGCAUUUUGUUUUCCUAACUAAUGUGCUGAGGAAGAAGGGCUGCUCUGGCGAAGCAGCUGCACUUGGUCAAUGCAGCAAACGCUCCCUCGCCUCUGUGAUGAGCACCAGAGGCUGGAGCACGUCACGGCUGCAAUUACAGGAUAAGCUACUGGUAAGGUUUAAUUACGCAUUUGAGGCAGAGCAGGCAGGUCAAAGUGCUGUUUAUGUGGAGCGUUCUCAGCUGCAAAAUAAUUGGUACUGCUCUGAGGAAUGCGUGGCAGGGCUGCCUGCCCACCAGCCCGUUUCAUGGUGCCUGCUCGGUGUGAGGGUGGAGGCAGCAGCCCCUCGAGCUUGCCUGCUAACACUAAAUCAGCUCCUAGGAGCCCCCAGGAAAGGGCAGCACUUGUAUUAUAAAAGGAUUCCCUCUGGUAUCGACCAGUUCAAAACACUCCAUCUAGCCCUGAACGUGUUUGCUGUAAAAGUCACAGAGGGAAAGUGCUUCCACGGCACUCAGCUCAUUAAUUCAGCCUCUCUUGCAGCCUUCCGCAGGGAUGGUGCCUUGUAAGGUGCAGGCAGGCACCCCCUGAUUGCAGGGAUCUGCUUAGGGCUGAGGGCAGAUGUGCCGUGCAGUGCCCAGGGUCUUGAACUCUAUUUUGCACUGUAUUUUUUGAUCUCUCCUCAUCCUGGGCUGCAGCCGGCGCUUUGCAGGCGUGCAGUGAUGCCCGUGCAGAAGGGAAGGAUAAGUGAAUAAGUCAGGUUACGUCUGCAAACACAGCUUGCUGAACUGCCAAAUUAGGUGGCCACCAAGGCCGAGAGCUCAGAGGGGGGCUGGGGAAGGGUGCCAGGACACGGAUGGGGAAUGGGUCGUAAUUUUCCAGUGGACUGGCAGUAGCUGGGAAAGAAAAGGGAAGCAGAGCUGCUUGUCUUUGUCUCUUCGAUCCCUGGGACCCUGCUGGCAAGCAGCACCACGUUUUUCCAUGCCAUAGCAGCACAGCCAGCUAAGUAAAAGCUGGAGAAAGUUACACGUAGAGAUUUCCAAGUAGCCCAUCACACAGCUGAUACAAUGCACAGCCUCAGCGCUUCCCUUCACUGACAUCCCUGAACUGUACUGCUUUUUGGAUCCUCACUGCUGCCAAAAGAGAAAUGAUUAAUUUGAUGAAAAAAAAAAACAAAAUUAGUUGUUCUUAAGUGUCCCAUGGAAGCGAUCAACCAGAGAGAUCAUGCAUUUUCUCUCCACUGUGGAAAGAGCCGCGAGCAGAGCAAGCCCAGCCACACACUCACCUAGAAUUUGCACUUCGUGGGUAAUCCCGUAGACAUCUAUGAGCGCCCAGAGAGGACUGGAAACUUUAAUACCACAGUGAAACAAUAUCGGCUCCUCGUCGUUAAUACUGUAGAAGACUCUCCCGUGACGGUCAACCCAGAAGGCCAAGAUAUUGUCCCUGACGGCGAACCUCUCUGGCAAAGCCUUGGCCCAGUAGCCGGGCCGGGUGACCAGGUCGGGGCAGGCGUACUUUGGUAUGUCGUCGGAGCUCAUCUGCGAGGGGUCGUGGAUGGUGAAGCCGAAGCGCAGGGCCCCGCUCCAGCCGUGGUGCACGGCCACCAGCUUCAGCCUGACCUUCUCGUAGAGGUGGAUGGGCCGGUUGGUGAAGGUGACCCCGUUACAGAAGCUGUUCCUCCGCGUGGCGCGGCGCGAGUGGGCGUCCAGCCGCACGUUCUUGCCCUUGGCUUGGGAGUGGAAGCGCGGCGGCUCCGUGACGGCCAGCACCGAGCGCCUCUCAUGGCUGCUGUUGGGCAGGCUGUAGUAGGGGCGGCUGGAGACGGAGCGGGUCUGGUGGCUUGUGUCUGCGGGAGAGAAAACGGCACCCAGCAUGAGGGCUCGGCCCCGGCACCGCGUGCGCUCAGCCCGGGAAGCUCCGCCGCGGGCUCUCCCCGGGCAGGGCAGCGGUGUGCUGCUUUGCACUGCUGCUCACAGGGCUCUUUAGCCUUAAAAUGCCGUGCUCGGCUACAAGCUGCUCUUUGUUCCAGCAGCUUGGCCCCCAGCUUUAUGCAAACACAAGGCAAAUGUGGCUCGCGGGGGCAAAGGCUAGGCAGCUUCCCUCUGCGCCCUGCGCACUUGGGCAGAGAGCAUCCCUUUGUUCCCGUCAGAUGCAUCCGACUGCAGUCGGAAGGGCCUGAUGCUCUCACUCUGGCUCCCCGUUUCCUAUUUCAAGGCACGUGUGGUUAAAUCAUCCUGUUGGCCGGCCGGGGCCAGAUUCCCACAGUCUGUGAGAGUCACGCUUGUUAAGAUCAGAGGUGCUCAGGAUGAGGGGCACGCCUCGCGUUUUUGUGCAGCCACCGGCUCCUGUCCCUUAAUUCUGUAAGGAUGAACAUUGCUUUUGAGCAGUGCACACAUCGAGACAUUUCGCAGCUGGAGCACUCCCCCUGCAUCGCCAGCGUGUUCUCCCCAGCUCCCAGCCCAGCCCCUGGUUCGGGUGCCAGACCCAACAGCCCCAGGAAGGAACAGCUCAUCCCGCAGAGCCUCGCCGGUACACGCAGCCUCCCGCUGGAGCUCAGAGCUCCUUGUAACCAACGCGUGCUUGCAGCUUCGCAGCACCACAGAUGGCGCAGAAAUCCUGCCACCCUCCCUCUACAGAUGGGAGAAGGAGAAUUUAUGAGCGAGAUCUUGCAGCACUUCAAGUCAAUAGCAAUUUCGAGACUGAUUUCAGAAAAAAGCAGAUUUGAGGCCUAAAGUGAAGUUCACAGAAGCGUGAAGCAGGAAUGAAAAAAAAAGAAAAAAGAAAAAAAUAAGAAAAAAAAAGAAACACUUCUAAUCUUAAGCCUUAGCUGUAAGUUCCCCGAGGCAGAGAUGCUCCCUCCUGCACAGCCCCAAAUGCAGUGGGACCAGGCUCCCCUGCGACCACCACCACGGGGCUACCACCACUUCAUCUGGGACCGUUUCAGCAGGGAAAAACCCAGAAGGCAGCGAGAAGCUGGGGCUUGCAUUUUUGGCUGGCAUCAAUGAAGGCAUUUGGGAAGUAAUCCCCAUCUUUGUGUCUGCAGGAGCUGAGCACUGCAUUACCCAUCUGCGACAGGAGCCGAAGAGCUGAGGCUGGCAGCUCCUGCUUCCACCGAGCAAACGGGGCAGUCCUGAAUUACGACAGGAACACGCAGAGGCUAAAGAAAAGGGCCUUUGUGUGCGCUUUGUUCGACCUGCACGUGACUGUGACCCGCUCAUCCUGCUGUGCACCACCGUGAGCAAACACCACCCUGCCCUCCUGCCUGCGGGGGCUUCACCCCUCCAGCGCCAAGAACCAAGAAGGCAGCGACCUGGGGGAGACGGGCAGGAGAGAGCCCCCGGCUGCUGCAUCCCACGGUGCCAUCCUCGCUGCCACCCGCAGCAGAGGGGCUGCGGGAGCCCCUUCUCUCCCCAGUUCCCAGCAGAGAGCCCAGGCCCUUGCCUCCCAAAAAACGGAGGCCCAGAAGAUGCCACCCGCUGCUCCCCUGGGUGCUGCUCCGCGGGGCUGCCUGCAAAUGGUGCCGGCAAGCCGUGCCGCCGCGCAGGAGCCGCCGCUCUUCUGGCUGUGCCUGCACUCACCUGCUCCUCCUGCAUCCAUGGGGCCUUCAAGCCAAAAAAUUAUUAAAAAUAUGAAAUUAA